Molecule: ribosomal RNA, 434 nt
Filed under: Simulium laterale
Lineage: Eukaryota; Metazoa; Arthropoda; Insecta; Diptera; Simuliidae
Description: partial 12S ribosomal RNA
Source: RNAcentral
AAAAAUAAAAUUACUUUAAAUUUUUUAAGUGAAAUUUUAAAUUUAAUUAAUUUUAUAUAAAUAAUUUUAAUGAAGCUAAAAAAUUUUAAUAAUAAACUAGGAUUAGAUACCCUAUUAUUUAAAAAGUAAAUUUAAGUACUUGAGUAGUAAUAGAUAUGAUCUUUAAACUUAAAGAAUUUGGCGGUGUUUUAGUCUAUUUAGAGGAACCUGUCCUGUAAUCGAUAAUCCACGUUGGACCUUACUAAAGUUUGUUUUCAAUUUGUAUAUCGCCGUUAUCAGAAUAUCUUAAAAGAGGAAUAAUUUUCUUAAUUUAUAAUUAUAAUUGAUGUCAGGUCAAGGUGCAGUUUAUAUUUUAGUAGAGAUGGGUUACAAUAAAUUUAUUUAAACGUUAAAUUGUUUGAAAUAAUGAUUUUAAGGUGGAUUUAAAAGUAAAA